This is a long non-coding RNA of Bubalus bubalis (water buffalo), 2881 nucleotides long. RefSeq lists it as uncharacterized. The transcript is spliced from 2 exons. The record is from RefSeq and is a predicted model, not a curated record. NCBI's taxonomy places the organism in Eukaryota, Metazoa, Chordata, Mammalia, Artiodactyla, Bovidae.
AGGACAAGACCCAUAGGGUUCCACCGAUUUGAGUGUGAUGGUUAAUUUUAUGUGUCUGCUUGACCGGCACAAGUGCCCUAUAAUUGGUCAAAGGUUAUUCUGGGUUUUUCCAUGAUUUCUUUUUCCUUUGUCUGAGAUUAGCCUUUAAAUCAGUAGACUGAGUAAUGCAGAUUGCCCUCCCUGAUGUAGUCAGGCCUCUUCCAAUCAGGUGAUGGUCUGAAUAGAGCAAAAGUCUGACCCUCUGGACAUGAGUUUGAGCAAACUCCAGGGGCUGGUGAAGGACCGGGAAGCCUGGUGUGCUGCCUUUCCUGUGUCGCAAAGAGAUAAACACAAUUGAGUGACUGAACGACCCAGAAUAAGAGGGAAUUCUUCCUGCCUGAAGGCCUUCAAACCGGGAUAUUGAUCUUUUCUUUCCUUCAGAGUUCAGAUGAAACCUUGGUUCCCCUGAGUCUCACUCAUCCUGCCGACCUUGGGAUUUACAGCCUCCAUAAACACGCGGAUUCUUUACCAACUGAGCCUCCAGGGAAGAGGUGGUGACUUUGGCACAACCACGUAAAUGUGCUUAAUGCCACGGAGCUGUGCGCUUAAACCAGGUUAGGAUGGCAAAUCUCACGUGCUAUAUAUUUUACGGCAAACACUGAACCGAGCAGCUCAGCUCUAUGCAGAGAGGAACGUCAUCCAGAGCCGCGGCCGCACACCGGAGACCGGGAAGUCUCUGCCACCAGAGUCACGGCGCUGGUUGACCCGUCAAAAGCUGGCAGCCAAGAUAAGACGGCCUCCAUGACCUUGCCCGCCAGCAGACGCCGAGAGAUGGCCCGGCCUCCAGAAGCCUGAACGAGAUUCGUGACCUGCAUCCAACAGAUGCUGUCAGUGUGCUCGUAAACUCGGGAUUUGCCCAAGUCCACCUCUCUGUUGAGUCCUUGCCUGCUGGACCCGGCCCCCUGCACCAGCCUCUCCUUAAGCCUGCAGCUCAGCUGCGACCCUGGUGUCUCUCUCUCCCAUCAUCACAGGAAUGUCCCGUGGGUCCCAGGCUCUUCGGAGCCAGUCCUCGUCACCCACAAGGCUGUAUGCCCCUGUUGCUGGUGAGGAAUCAUCUCUCCAGGGGCAGAGAUGAGAAGCCAGGGAACCAGCUGCCUCACCCAGGCAUUCAGCACGCACGGGCAGCGGGCACCUCGGGGGAGCCAAGAAAACACACGCGUCCAGGUGCCCCGCCGGCUGCCUGCCCCUCCUGCUCCUCCUGUGCCGGGAGCCGGGCCAGGCUGUAGGUCCACGGGACUCAGCGCCCUGAGCGCUAUCACAAGGUCACCAGAGGGACAGCUGCCAGGAGCUCCAAGGGGCCACGCCAAGGGGCCCCGGGCACCAGGUGGCGAUCCUGGGAACCCACACACGCUCCCCGUUGGGCACCGGCCCCGCGCUCCUGGCUCCGCUGGCCCCUCGCAGGUGCUGAGACCCCAGGUACAGACCCUGAUAGCCGCAGGCGUCUGGCAGCCGACCAGGGGUGAAGCCUCCGGGUUGAAGCCUGGGGGCCCAAGGAUUCUGGCGGACAGAAGGAACGGCUUUAUCACACCUUGGUCUACUGACCCCGGUGCACCUGAAGCAUCUUCGGGAGAAAACAAGGAGCCGGGCCGCCCUAGACAGCAGCCAGGUGGUCAGGGGAGGGCGCCUGCCCACGUGAGUAGGCUCAGGUCUGCCCAAAGCCCCGCCCAGAGUUUCCAGGACGACCGGCAGGAUCCAUGCGGCCAACAGCGCCACCUGGUGGCCAGUGGGUGAGCAGCAGGCAGCCUGCUCCUGCUCACCUCCAGCCAGACAGAUGCAGGGACAGAGGGCGGUGGGGCUGAGGACCCUAGGCCUCUGGGCCCUGUGUCUAUGGAGUCGGGUAAAGAGAUGACCCCUGCCCUCACGGAGCCCCCAGGAGUAUGGAGGUGGGAGCCACAUGUCCCAGGGAUCAAGGCCUCAGGCCAGGCCUCGGGGGGGACAGGUGGCUGGGGUCUGGGGUCCCCGGAGCAGCCCAGGGGUUGGGUCAGUGAGGAAGGCAAGGCACCAGCCCACCGGGGACCCCUCCAUCCUGUCUGGUCAGCAGAGGCAGGGCCUCUGGCCAGGCUGGGCCAGGGCCAAGUGUGGACGUGAUCUGGACACGAGCGCUGGUCCUCCUGCAGCCCGGAGCACGUCCCGUCCUGCGGCUCAGUGGGGCUGCCCACAGGGCCGGGGCAGACGGGCAUGUCCCGGCCCAGCAUGACCACGGAGCCCAGUUCUGGGGCCUCAGCCUCUUGUUCCCUGGGCCACAGGCCCCAGCAGGGACCCACAAGAGGGACUCUCACAGCCAGACCCCCCGAGGGGCCUGCCUGGCUGUCACCUGAUCUCGGGUGAGGACACGGAGGUCACAUCCUGCGGCAGACUCGGGACCUCGGCCCCAGAACAGGGCUCCGCGUGUCCCCUGAGACACAGCCCGGAACACCCAGUGGCCCAUCCUCGUCCACCUGCCCAGGUACCCGCCGGGGACGCAGAGCGGGUGCAGUUGAAGCACCCGGGGCUCCCCCAAGCCCUUCCACUCUCUGCAGGAAGGGCGCCCUGCUGGGGGCCCUGGGUGCUCUCCUACGCCCGGCAUCCUCGGGAGAGCCUGGCCACAGAUGCUGGGGUGGGGUGGGGGGUGAUGGUGGCCCCCAGGACCCUGCCGCCCGGCUGUUCCCGGCAGUUUGUCUCUCGGGGUGCCCCAUCCCCAGGGCCUGUUCCACCCAAGACAGGGGCCCCCCACCCUGGCCUCACCCUGGCCCCCCGGGGGAAUUCUCAAAGUCCCCGCUGCCCAGGCCCUGACCCAGGGGUCAGCAGGCGCCCUACCCAGGGGACUUGUAAGGGUUCCCCGGGUACCAGGACUGAGAACCAC